RNAcentral lists this ribosomal RNA (497 nucleotides) under uncultured bacterium. RNAcentral describes it as "partial 16S ribosomal RNA". It matches the Rfam family "Bacterial small subunit ribosomal RNA", at positions 28 to 507 of the family's 1533-position model. The record is from RNAcentral.
GAUGAACGCUGGCGGCGUGCCUAAUACAUGCAAGUCGAGCGAACAGACGAGGAGCUUGCUCCUCUGACGUUAGCGGCGGACGGGUGAGUAACACGUGGAUAACCUACCUAUAAGACUGGGAUAACUUCGGGAAACCGGAGCUAAUACCGGAUAACAUGUUGAACCGCAUGGUUCAACAGUGAAAGACGGUCUUGCUGUCACUUAUAGAUGGAUCCGCGCCGCAUUAGCUAGUUGGUAAGGUAACGGCUUACCAAGGCAACGAUGCGUAGCCGACCUGAGAGGGUGAUCGGCCACACUGGAACUGAGACACGGUCCAGACUCCUACGGGAGGCAGCAGUAGGGAAUCUGCCGCAAUGGGCGAAAGCCUGACGGAGCAACGCCGCGUGAGUGAUGAAGGUCUUCGGAUCGUAAAACUCUGUUAUUAGGGAAGAACAAAUGUGUAAGUAACUAUGCACGUCUUGACGGUACCUAAUCAGAAAGCCACGGCUAACUACGUG